RNAcentral lists this ribosomal RNA (551 nucleotides) under Diversispora celata. RNAcentral describes it as "SSU rRNA". It matches the Rfam family "Eukaryotic small subunit ribosomal RNA", at positions 548 to 1098 of the family's 1831-position model. The record is from RNAcentral. RNAcentral also lists the same sequence under 2 other names. Lineage: Eukaryota; Fungi; Glomeromycota; Glomeromycetes; Diversisporales; Diversisporaceae.
UUGGAGGGCAAGUCUGGUGCCAGCAGCCGCGGUAAUUCCAGCUCCAAUAGCGUAUAUUAAAGUUGUUGCAGUUAAAAAGCUCGUAGUUGAACUUCGGGGUUUACCCAUUGGUCAGGCUUAAUUGUCUGUACUGGUGAGAUAAAUCUCUACCUUCUGAGGAACUUUCAUGUCAUUAAUUUGGUGUGAUUGGAAAUCAGGACUGUUACUUUGAAAAAAUUAGAGUGUUUAAAGCAGGCUAACGUCUGAAUACAUUAGCAUGGAAUAAUGAAAUAGGACGGACUGAUUCUAUUUCGUUGGUUUCUAGGAUCACCGUAAUGAUUAAUAGGGAUAGUUGGGGGCAUUAGUAUUCAAUUGUCAGAGGUGAAAUUCUUGGAUUUAUUGAAGACUAACUACUGCGAAAGCAUUUGCCAAGGAUGUUUUCAUUAAUCAAGAACGAAAGUUAGGGGAUCGAAGACGAUCAGAUACCGUCGUAGUCUUAACCAUAAACUAUGCCGACUAGGGAUCGGACGAAGUUAAUUUUAUAAUGACGCGUUCGGCGCCUUACGGGAAAC